GAACUCCAUUUACAAUACACAAAUCAAAGAAACCUAGCGGUUUAACUUCAAAUCCUUGACCAAAAAAAAAAAACUUCAAAUCGCUCCUUCUUCUCUCCGUCGCGCACGAGCUCCUUUUUCUCCAUUCCUCGCCUACAGCUCCACCGCCGGCCACCCUAACCGCCGGAGCUACCUUCUCCUGCUUCUCCUCUUUUUUAAACAAAGCAAGCUCCGUGUCUUUCUUGUUCGCAGAACAAAGCAAGCUCAAGCUCCACCGCUGCCGCGCCUCUCUCUCUCCUUUUAUCCCCCUCAGUUUUGGCUCGCAUACCUUCGCGCAAGCCCUAACUCCGUGGCGACCAAAAUCGGUUCCACCUCUCUUUUUCCCCCUGUUCGAACUGAUAGGGUGCGUGAGCUAGGGUUUUGGUUUUGCGGCAGUGGUUGUUCAUUGGAGAGCCAUUGGCGAUGCUCCUAUGCUCUUGUUGAAUGGCGAAGCUUGAAGCGAAGCUGGGAACGAUAGUUGACUCCGUUGGUAACUUCUUCUCUGGCAAAGACCAGCUUCCCUGGUGUGACCCUGAUAUCGUCGCUGUCAAAAUUGAAGUGGCAACUAUUCAAGGAGUAGGGAUCUUGUGGAGAGGUGCCUAAUAGUUGUGCUUCUGCUCUUAUGGAGGAGGCUAGAGGUAUUUGGUCUGACUUUCUUGUUACCGCUCUCUAUGAAGAGUGGAGAAAGUGUAAAAGAGUUGAUGUUCCAGAUGGAUAAUUUUCUACAGUUGAUGUUCCAGAUGGAUUAUGUGAAAAAUGGGCAUGAUGGCUUCCUUGCAGUUCAGAGUGGAAUUGCCUACCUCAGAAGGAUUCUGCACAUCUUCCCUAACUGUAGUUUGAUAAGAUAGAAAGAAAGCAAAAAGGAAAAGAUGUUGAAGGUGAAGGUGUAUGCGGACCGCAUGUCCCAGCCAUCUCGUGCCGUUCUUAUCUUCUGCAAAGUUAAUGGAAUAGAAUUCGACGAGAUUAAAGUUGAAAUCUCCAAAAGACAGCAGUUAUCUCCCGAAUUUGCAGAUAUGUGAAAUCCAAACUCAACCCUACUCACCUGCAGAUUCAACGACUGUCUCUUUGCUCUUCUCCAAGUUAGGAACAAGUACAAAAGGUGCUGAAUUAAGGAGAGAAGAGAGAGAGAAUUUUGGAGAAGGUUUGAAGUGAUUGGAUUUCACAGUUAUAUGCAUUAAAAGCUAUCUAAGGCCAUAGAGCAGUUACAAUGAAAUAUAUGCACGGCUUCAAUAAUAAUAAUAAUAUCAAAUACAUGCCGUAAACUACAAGUGUAUAUACAUGCAUGAUUCAAGAAUGAUCAUCUUCAAAGUGUAACUGGCGGCUUAAGACUGUUGUAGGAUGAAUGCUUUAUCAUUGAAAACUUUAAGGAACCAACAUGCCGUGGCAUCUAAGAUCCAGGCUGUUUAUAGAGGCUAUAUGGAAUAUGGGAAGCACAGAUGCCAAGUGGAAAUUGGCUGAUCACCCAAAGGGAAAUUAAAGCUAGUUGCUGUGGUGGUUUUGGAUGGAUGGGGUGAGGCCAACGCUGAUCAAUACAACUGUAUCCACACUGCUGAAACUCCAACCAUGAAUUCCCUCAAAAAGGGUGCACCUGAAAGGUGGAGAUUGGUGAGGGCUCAUGGUACUGCUGUGGGACUUCCUACAGAGAAUGACAUGGGCAACAGUGAAGUCGAUCACUUUGUUUAAAAUUAGAUAAAAUUGUGUAAAAUUUAGUAUGGUUGAACAAUAUACUGAGGAUUAUAGUUGAUAAUACACUUUGUUUAUAUUUUGAAUUAUAUUGAUUUGUUUGUUUAUAA
Molecule: non-coding RNA, 1811 nt
Organism: Arachis ipaensis
Lineage: Eukaryota; Viridiplantae; Streptophyta; Magnoliopsida; Fabales; Fabaceae
Source: RefSeq, a predicted model, not a curated record